CCUACGGGAGGCAGCAGUGAGGAAUAUUGGUCAAUGGACGAGAGUCUGAACCAGCCAAGUAGCGUGAAGGAUGACUGUCCUAUGGGUUGUAAACUUCUUUUAUAAAGGAAUAAAACGAGGCACGUGUGCCUUUUUGCAUGUACUUUAUGAAUAAGGAUCGGCUAACUCCGUGCCAGCAGCCGCGGUAAUACGGAGGAUCCGAGCGUUAUCCGGAUUUAUUGGGUUUAAAGGGAGCGUAGAUGGGGUGUUAAGUCAGUUGUGAAAGUUUGCGGCUCAACCGUAAAAUUGCAAUUGAUACUGGCAGUCUUGAGUACAGUUGAGGUAGGCGGAAUUCGUGGUGUAGCGGUGAAAUGCUUAGAUAUCACGAAGAACCCCGAUUGCGAAGGCAGCAUACUAAACUGUGACUGACAUUGAUGCACGAAAGUGUGGGUAUCAAACAGGAUUAGAUACCCUUGUAGUC
RNAcentral lists this ribosomal RNA (460 nucleotides) under uncultured bacterium. RNAcentral's name for it is "partial 16S ribosomal RNA". It matches the Rfam family "Bacterial small subunit ribosomal RNA", at positions 338 to 795 of the family's 1533-position model. The record is from RNAcentral.